GAUGAACGCUGGCGGCGUGCUUAACACAUGCAAGUCGAGCGAGUGAAUUUCCUUCGGGAUUGAAGCUAGCGGCGGACGGGUGAGUAACACGUGGGCAACCUGCCUCAUAGAGGGGAAUAGCCUUUCGAAAGGAAGAUUAAUACCGCAUAAGAUUGUAGCUUCGCAUGAAGUAGCAAUUAAAGGAGUAAUCCGCUAUGGGAUGGGCCCGGGGCGCAUUAGCUAGUUGGUGAGGUAACGGCUCACCAAGGCGACGAUGCGUAGCCGACCUGAGAGGGUGAUCGGCCACAUUGGGACUGAGACACGGCCCAGACUCCUACGGGAGGCAGCAGUGGGGAAUAUUGCACAAUGGGGGAAACCCUGAUGCAGCAACGCCGCGUGAGUGAUGACGGCCUUCGGGUUGUAAAGCUCUGUCUUCAGGGACGAUAAUGACGGUACCUGAGGAGGAAGCCACGGCUAACUACGUGCCAGCAGCCGCCGUAA
Molecule: ribosomal RNA, 480 nt
Filed under: uncultured bacterium
Lineage: Bacteria
Description: partial 16S ribosomal RNA
Rfam family: Bacterial small subunit ribosomal RNA
Source: RNAcentral